Molecule: non-coding RNA, 795 nt
Organism: Peromyscus maniculatus bairdii (prairie deer mouse)
Lineage: Eukaryota; Metazoa; Chordata; Mammalia; Rodentia; Cricetidae
Source: RefSeq, a predicted model, not a curated record
AGGAGGGUGCAGAAGGCCGGUCACCUGCUCCCCCGCACCCCAGGCUCUUCACAAGGCAAAAGGCGCGGGUGGGAGGCCCACGGGAGCGGCACGAGCCCAACCCCACGCCCGGGGCCUCCGCAGGCGCACCUCCACUCCAGCAAGUGACCCAGACUCACGCCGACCCACCGCCGGGCUCCCGCCAGCUUUCAAGGGGAGCGUGCUCCCCGGGGCCCGCCUCUCACUUCCGCACCGGGAGCCCCGGCUCUCGCUAGAUCUCGCGCGAGCGCGAGCCGACCCGCCCUCCGGAGUCAACCGGGGUCACCGCGCCUGGGCUGGAUCCCGGGGUCGCGGGCUUCUUCCCCGGCUGCUUUGUGUGAGCGCGAACAAGGUUACCAGAGCCAUCGGUCCAUUUCAAAGUACAGCCAGCCCUAAAGAUGCACAUCAGGAGGCAAGGGACGAGUUACGUAUUAGUGUCACUGAAAAUGACGUACAGAAGCGCAUACAAAUCUUCGCCAUGUCUGUUACAAAAUGAACACAGAUUUACAAGAUACCACCACCACCACCACCCGUGUGUCCUGCCCAGGGGAGUCCCCUUUCAUGUGGACAGGACUGCUGCCCGGUCCUACCCACUUCAGUAUCACCUUCUGCCUCUCUGAGACUGUCCUCUGUUCUCCUGCCCCAGAGUUCACCUCUCCCUUGGAGGUGAGAAAGCCUUUAAACAUCUUAUUCUCUGCUCAUCUACUGGGGAUGUACUAACGAUAGCAUGGCCAUACCCAGUCUCAUGGGAUCCCAAGUAAGGUUCCUCCAUCUGCU